Molecule: non-coding RNA, 126 nt
Filed under: Prolemur simus (greater bamboo lemur)
Lineage: Eukaryota; Metazoa; Chordata; Mammalia; Primates; Lemuridae
Description: U4atac minor spliceosomal RNA (ENSPSMG00000005650.1)
Rfam family: U4atac minor spliceosomal RNA
About the family: U4atac is an essential component of the minor U12-type spliceosome complex which is required for removal of the rarer class of eukaryotic introns (AT-AC, U12-type). These interacting stem loops have been shown to be required for in vivo splicing.
Source: Rfam by way of RNAcentral
ACCGUCCUUUUCCUGGGGUUGUGCUACUGUCCAAUGAGCGGGCAGUGAGGGCAGCACUGCCAACUCCUGCACAGCACGCUCACAUCAGCUAGAGCUUUGCUUUACCUUGGUGCAGUUUUUGGAAAA